CCUAGAAUUGGCCACCAGGAUAUCAGCUGUUCACACAGCAUCUGAGUUGCCUCCUCUCAGACACCAUUCCUACAGGAAUGAUCACCAUGCAGAGAUGUACAGUGAAAUUCAUCCUCUUCUGAAUGCUUGCUUCAAUUUUGGAUAGCUUCUCUUUGUGUCCUGGAGCAUAUGCAGGCCGGAGCCUUGGAGAAUCGUUUCUCACCAACC
This 207-nucleotide long non-coding RNA is filed under the name Chrysolophus pictus (golden pheasant). Its description in RNAcentral is "lncRNA (ENSCPIG00010003003.1)". The record is from RNAcentral. Lineage: Eukaryota; Metazoa; Chordata; Aves; Galliformes; Phasianidae.